AUGCCAGGAAUCAUAGUGGAUGGAGUUGUUACAGAGGAGAUUCAGCAUGAGGUGGGUUCCUCUCAAAACAAGGAGAAUUUGACGGCCCCAACCAUGGCGCCAAGCAUGCAGAGUGAGACACUUGAGAUGCACGUUGAGAAUUCUGGUGCUGGGGAGCCCUCGAUUGAGCAACUCUACAACAACGUGUGUGAGAUGGAGAGCUCAAGUGAGGGUGGCGGAUCCCCAUCACGCGAGAGCUUCGGGUCGGAUGGAGAGGAAUCAAGGAUCGACUCAGAGCUUCGCCACCUUGUUGCUGGGGAGAUGGAGGCCAUGAAGGUCAUUGAGGAGGAGGAGGAGAAGGAGAAGGAGAAGGGGAGUGGAAGUGUUACCAAUGCGGUACCUACUGCUGGGAAUGGUACCCCUGUCAGGCCUCAGUCUUCUAAUUCAUCCAAGAAGAAGGCUACAAAAUCACAGCUUGAAUCUGAUGCUUCUGUUGGCCCCAAUGGCAAGGCAUCCCCCGAGGAAGGCGAGAGUGAGGUCAGCAAGCCCGGAAGCCGAGUUGGCCGUCGACGGAAAGCUAGUGCCAAAUCACAGAAUGGGACAGAAGAUGCUGGUCUUGAUAACCCAGACCUUGGUCCAUUUCUUCUUAAGCAUGCAAGAGACUUGAUUGCCUCUGAUAAUCCGCGACGAGCGCUGAAAUAUGCUCUCCGUGCGACCAAAUCAUUUGAGAAAUGUGCAGGUGGAAAGCCAAGCUUGAACUUGGUCAUGAGUUUGCAUGUUGUGGCUGCAAUCCACUGCAACAUGGGAAAGUACGAAGAAGCUGUACCUGUCCUACAACGAUCCCUCGAGAUUCCUGUGACCGAGGAAGGUCAGGAGCACGCUCUUGCCAAGUUUUCUGGCUGCAUGCAAUUGGGGGACACCUAUGGGAUGCUAGGUCAGAUUGCCCUCUCACUGCAAUGGUAUGCCAAAGGGCUUGAAAUCCAGAAGCAGACAUUGGGGGAGCAGGAUCCAAGGGUUGGAGAGACUUGCCGGUACUUGGCUGAGGCUCAUGUGCAGGCACUACAAUUAGAUGAAGCACAAAAAUUGUGCCAGAUGGCUCUUGACAUUCACAGGGAUAAUGGCCAGCCAGCAUCACUUGAAGAAACGGCUGAUAGGAGGCUAAUGGGUCUUAUUUGUGACACAAAGGGUGACCAUGAAGCUGCGUUAGAACAUCUAGUGAUGGCGAGCAUGGCCAUGGUCGCCAAUGGCCAGGAGACUGAGGUGGCCUCAGUGGAUUGCAGUAUUGGUGACAUUUAUCUCUCAUUGGGUCGAUAUGAUGAGGCUGUAUGUGCUUAUCAGAAAGCUCUUACGGUAUUCAAGACUAGCAAAGGGGAGAAUCAUGCCACCGUGGCUUCUGUUUUCCUGCGGCUUGCUGAUUUAUACAACAAAACAGGGAAGCUGAGGGAAUCAAAAUCAUACUGUGAGAAUGCUCUCAAAAUUUAUCAGAAACCUAUUCCAGGCACGUCUCUUGAAGAAAUUGCCACUGGUUUGACUGAUGUUUCAGCCAUAUAUGAGACCAUGAAUGAGCAUGACCAAGCACUGAAGUUACUCCAGAAGGCCUUGAAGAUGUACAAUAAUUCUGCUGGCCAACAGAGCACAAUUGCUGGAAUUGAAGCUCAGAUUGGUGUCUUGCACUACAUCUCUGGGAAUUAUGGCGAUGCAUAUGACUCCUUCAAGAGUGCGAUUACAAAGCUCCGCACAUGUGGUGAGAAAAAGUCCGCCUUCUUCGGUAUUGCCCUGAACCAGAUGGGGCUGGCGUGUGUUCAAAGAUACUCCAUAAAUGAAGCUGCAGAACUCUUCGAGGAAGCUAGAACCGUUCUGGAGCAAGAAUACGGGCCAUAUCAUGCAGAUACUCUAGGAGUAUACAGCAAUCUUGCUGGAACUUAUGAUGCAAUGGGAAGACUGGAUGAGGCCAUUGAGAUCUUGGAAUACGUUGUUGAAAUGCGCGAAGAGAAGCUAGGUACGGCGAACCCAGACGUUGACGACGAGAAGCGGAGGCUUGCCGAGUUGCUGAAGGAGGCUGGCCGGGGGAGAAGCAGGAAGGCAAAAUCCCUGGAAAAUCUUCUCGAGACCAACCCAUACACCAUCGGGAAGAGGACUACAGUUGCAGCGUGA
Molecule: ribosomal RNA, 2133 nt
Filed under: Triticum aestivum (bread wheat)
Lineage: Eukaryota; Viridiplantae; Streptophyta; Magnoliopsida; Poales; Poaceae
Description: partial small subunit ribosomal RNA
Source: RNAcentral